Long non-coding RNA from Brienomyrus brachyistius, 383 nucleotides. RefSeq lists it as uncharacterized. Lineage: Eukaryota; Metazoa; Chordata; Actinopteri; Osteoglossiformes; Mormyridae. The transcript is spliced from 3 exons. The record is from RefSeq and is a predicted model, not a curated record.
CCGGCAUUGACGCAUCACGCAAACCGCCUCUUGGCCAGCUUCUUGGAUGAUGGUGCUCCGUGGGAGUGUCAGCUUGCAGAGCGUGACCUUUGCUGCAAAUACAUGUGAGCAAGGGAUAGGGUUGCCCUGCGACAGAGCAGUUCAGAAGAUCUGCCUGUGGAGCGUUUGAAGGAAUCAGGCUGGGCUGGGAAAUUGAUCCCAGGUGUCCUUAAGGUUCAGAAUGUAACAAGGUGAUGCUACCAAUGGAUAGGCAAGAGUUCUCCAUGAUAACUUUAUUUCCAGAGAAGAGCAUAAAGAAGUCAAUGACCUGUUGGAGGACCUGAACGAGAGCCCUGUGUUCUAAAGCCAGGAAUGCCUGCCGGACUGGCAUCCCACCUGCGGAU